Molecule: long non-coding RNA, 437 nt
Organism: Heterocephalus glaber (naked mole-rat)
Lineage: Eukaryota; Metazoa; Chordata; Mammalia; Rodentia; Bathyergidae
Source: Ensembl
CACCAGAGUGCUUCCCACCCCACCAGGGACACCUGGUUGCCUGUCCCGGCUAGUCUGUGUCACACACCUGCUAGAUAUCAUGGACAGAAGAGAGGAAGAGGAAACGGCUCAGCAAAUUAGAUGACUCAAAAAGGGACUUGGUUUUUAUGAACUUCAAUAUGAGAACAGAAGGUGCCUUUAUCAUUUGAAGAGUAUAUAAUAUUGCAGAGUGAUCACGGUUCUGGACAACAGCUCUGGGGUUCUAGGACUGUGUCCCAGCCCCAUGACUUAAACAACCACCCAGCCUCGCCAGUGCUGAUACCUCUGAGAAAGUGGAAAUUGACAGACACCUCUGUACACAGUAAUCCCAUGCACAGAGCCUUCCAUGUGAAAUCACCAGACCUCCCGUGUUCCCUACACCUUGCAAAUAUGGACCUAAGUAAGUCCUCUCAUGCAGC